This 450-nucleotide ribosomal RNA is filed under the name uncultured bacterium. Its description in RNAcentral is "bacterial SSU rRNA". It matches the Rfam family "Bacterial small subunit ribosomal RNA", at positions 1 to 400 of the family's 1533-position model. The record is from RNAcentral.
AACUCGCUGCUUCGAUCAUUUCCGGUCGAGUCGGCAAUAGUUCUUUUACGGAGAGUUUGAGUCCUGGCGUCAGGGAUGAACGCUGGCGGCGUGCUUAACACAUGCAAGUCGAACGGUGAAGGCGGAGCUUGCUCUGCUGGAUCAGUGGCGAACGGGUGAGUAACACGUGAGCAAUCGUGCCCCUGACUCUGGGAUAAGCGCUGGAAACGGCGUCUAAUACUGGAUACGAGCUGCGAAGGCAUCUUCAGCAGCUGGAAAGAACUUCGGUCAGGGAUGAGCUCGCGGCCUAUCAGCUUGUUGGUGAGGUAAUGGCUCACCAAGGCGUCGACGGGUAGCCGGCCUGAGAGGGUGACCGGCCACACUGGGACUGAGACACGGCCCAGACUCCUACGGGAGGCAGCAGUGGGGAAUUUUUGGACAAUGGGCGCAAGCCUGAUCCAGCCAUGCCGC